GCCCCCGUGGCUCAGUGGAAAGAGCGGCGGCUUCCGAAGCCGCAGGUCGCAGGUUCGAUUCCUGCCGGGGGCU
This 73-nucleotide transfer RNA is filed under the name Amycolatopsis sp. DG1A-15b. RNAcentral describes it as "tRNA-Arg". It matches the Rfam family "tRNA". Rfam says of the family: Transfer RNA (tRNA) molecules are approximately 80 nucleotides in length. The record is from RNAcentral. Lineage: Bacteria; Bacillati; Actinomycetota; Actinomycetes; Pseudonocardiales; Pseudonocardiaceae.